Long non-coding RNA from Oreochromis aureus, 419 nucleotides. RefSeq lists it as uncharacterized. The record is from RefSeq and is a predicted model, not a curated record. The transcript is spliced from 3 exons. Lineage: Eukaryota; Metazoa; Chordata; Actinopteri; Cichliformes; Cichlidae.
CCAAGAAGAACAAGAACCAUCAACCACCAGUUCAGUGGCGGGGGGGGGGGCACCAUAAAGCAUUUGUGCUUAGGGCACCCAAAUGGCUAGCAACGGCCCUGCCUGUGGCUCCUCACCUUGUUUGCUCUCGCUACUUAAGGCAGUGACUGAGAGCACCUCGCCGCUGGACUAUUGAGUAACGCUCAUUUCUCGUGCUUGGUUUGGAAAUCUGGACACCUAAGCCUGUUCGUGAGUGCCGUAGUGAGAGUGGCGUGUGUGAGGAAAGGACCUUUCCAAGCGCGCCGCUCUGCCCAAGUGGGGCGGAGUAAGAGAGGACACUUUUCCCAAUUCUUCCCUGUACCCCUGGGAACCCUAGCCCCCUUCUCCUUCACCAGUGUAUAGUGCACCAGGAGUGUGUAAAUAAAACCAGUUUUCUGUGA